RNAcentral lists this ribosomal RNA (292 nucleotides) under uncultured Acidobacteriota bacterium. Its description in RNAcentral is "uncultured Acidobacteria bacterium partial 16S ribosomal RNA". The record is from RNAcentral. Lineage: Bacteria; Pseudomonadati; Acidobacteriota.
GGACUACUGGGGUAUCUAAUCCCGUUUGCUCCCCUGGCUUUCGCGCCUCAGCGUCAAUGCCGGUCCAGGAUGCCGCCUUCGCCACCGGUGUUCCUCCAGAUAUCUACGCAUUUCACCGCUACACCUGGAAUUCCGCAUCCCUCUCCCGGAUUCAAGCCUUCCAGUAUCGGACGCAGUUCCCGGGUUGAGCCCGGGGAUUUCACGUUCGACUUAGAAGGCCGCCUACGCGCCCUUUACGCCCAGUAAUUCCGAACAACGCUUGCCCCCUCUGUAUUACCGCGGCUGCUGGCAC